RNAcentral lists this ribosomal RNA (433 nucleotides) under uncultured bacterium. RNAcentral describes it as "partial 16S ribosomal RNA". It matches the Rfam family "Bacterial small subunit ribosomal RNA", at positions 29 to 507 of the family's 1533-position model. The record is from RNAcentral.
AACGAACGCUGGCGGCAUGCCUAACACAUGCAAGUCGAACGAGACCUUCGGGUCUAGUGGCGCACGGGUGCGUAACGCGUGGGAACCUGCCCUUAGGUUCGGAAUAACUCCCCGAAAGGGGUGCUAAUACCGGAUAAUGUCUUCGGACCAAAGAUUUAUCGCCUUUGGAUGGGCCCGCGUUGGAUUAGCUAGUUGGUAGGGUAAAAGCCUACCAAGGCGACGAUCCAUAGCUGGUCUGAGAGGAUGAUCAGCCACACUGGGACUGGGACACGGCCCAGACUCCUACGAGAGGCAGCAGUGGGGAAUAUUGGACAAUGGGCGAAAGCAUGAUCCAGCAAUGCCGCGUGAGUGAUGAAGGCCUUAGGGUUGUAAAGCUCUUUUACCCGGGAUGAUAAUGACAGUACCGGGAGAAUAAGCUCCGGCUAACUCCGUG